UUUCUUCAAGGCGGAGUGAAAGUCUCCACCGGCGGUGUUUGAAUUAAUAUUCAUAAGCCCGCAAGCCGUGUGGCAUGAACCGGUGCGAUUCCGGUGCCGACAGUAUAGUCUGGAUGAGAGAAGAG
This 125-nucleotide non-coding RNA is filed under the name bovine gut metagenome. Its description in RNAcentral is "FMN riboswitch (RFN element)". It matches the Rfam family "FMN riboswitch aptamer (RFN element)". Rfam says of the family: The RFN element is a highly conserved domain that is found frequently in the 5'-untranslated regions of prokaryotic mRNAs that encode for flavin mononucleotide (FMN) biosynthesis and transport proteins. This element is a metabolite-dependent riboswitch that directly binds FMN in the absence of proteins. The record is from RNAcentral.